AACGUAGGAGGCGAGCGUUAUCCGGAUUCACUGGGCGUAAAGCGCGCGUAGGCGGUUCGUUAAGUCGGGCGUGAAAGCCCCUGGCUCAACUGGGGGAGGUCGUCCGAAACUGGCGGGCUCGAGGGUGAGAGAGGGAAGUGGAAUUCCCGGUGUAGCGGUGGAAUGCGUAGAGAUCGGGAGGAACACCAGUGGCGAAGGCGGCUUCCUGGCUCACUCCUGACGCUGAGAGCGCGAAAGCGUGGGGAGCAAA
RNAcentral lists this ribosomal RNA (250 nucleotides) under uncultured bacterium. RNAcentral describes it as "partial 16S ribosomal RNA". It matches the Rfam family "Bacterial small subunit ribosomal RNA", at positions 524 to 772 of the family's 1533-position model. The record is from RNAcentral.